This 483-nucleotide ribosomal RNA is filed under the name uncultured bacterium. RNAcentral describes it as "partial 16S ribosomal RNA". It matches the Rfam family "Bacterial small subunit ribosomal RNA", at positions 30 to 507 of the family's 1533-position model. The record is from RNAcentral.
UUGAACGCUGGCGGCAGGCCUAACACAUGCAAGUCGAGCGGAUGAAGGGAGCUUGCUCCUGGAUUCAGCGGCGGACGGGUGAGUAAUGCCUAGGAAUCUGCCUGGUAGUGGGGGAUAACGUCCGGAAACGGGCGCUAAUACCGCAUACGUCCUGAGGGAGAAAGUGGGGGAUCUUCGGACCUCACGCUAUCAGAUGAGCCUAGGUCGGAUUAGCUAGUUGGUGGGGUAAAGGCCUACCAAGGCGACGAUCCGUAACUGGUCUGAGAGGAUGAUCAGUCACACUGUAACUGAGACACGGUCCAGACUCCUACGGGAGGCAGCAGUGGGGAAUAUUGGACAAUGGGCGAAAGCCUGAUCCAGCCAUGCCGCGUGUGUGAAGAAGGUCUUCGGAUUGUAAAGCACUUUAAGUUGGGAGGAAGGGCAGUAAGUUAAUACCUUGCUGUUUUGACGUUACCAACAGAAUAAGCACCGGCUAACUUCGUG